Long non-coding RNA from Mus musculus (house mouse), 434 nucleotides. RefSeq annotates it as predicted gene, 51635. NCBI's taxonomy places the organism in Eukaryota, Metazoa, Chordata, Mammalia, Rodentia, Muridae. The transcript has 2 exons. The record is from RefSeq and is a predicted model, not a curated record.
ACCUGGACUAACCACAGAAACCAAGUAAAGAGACCAUGGGAAGAGAGCCAUGGACUAUCUAACAACAAUCCCAGUGCCAGGCAGAGGAAAGCUUCAAGUUUGGUCAAGAGAGUUAUCUCCCAGUAAUAUAAGCUAUUGCUGCUGCCGUUGGUAGUCUACCAGAACUCAGAGGCGUUGACACUAUUGCUAAAAAUCCCACAUACUUCACACCCAAGACUUGGAAGAAUCAAGCUGAACUGACCUGGAAGCCUCCUCCCUGAAGACUAGCUCUCUGAGCGCCUGAAGAUACUACGCAGGCUGCCAGAGGAGAAAAGCCACCAGCAGUCCUACCCAGCUGUGAAGCCUACGAACCACACAGACCAGCACAGCCAUAGAGCCUCAAGGGUAAAAUGGUAGCACUUAAACCUGGGGCAACCACAGCUGUCUAUCGGAAG